RNAcentral lists this ribosomal RNA (403 nucleotides) under uncultured bacterium. RNAcentral's name for it is "bacterial SSU rRNA". It matches the Rfam family "Bacterial small subunit ribosomal RNA", at positions 356 to 773 of the family's 1533-position model. The record is from RNAcentral.
AGGGAAUAUUGCACAAUGGGGGAAACCCUGAUGCAGCGACGCCGCGUGAGUGAUGAAGGCCUUCGGGUCGUAAAGCUCUGUCGCAGGGGAAUAACACAAUGAAUGUACCCUGUAAGAAAGGAUCGGCUAACUUCGUGCCAGCAGCCGCGGUAAGACGAGGGAUCCUAGCGUUGUUCGGAAUUAUUGGGCGUAAAGCGGAUGUAGGUGGCUUUGUAAGUCAGAUGUGAAAGCCCAGGGCUCAACCCUGGAAGUGCAUUUGAUACUGCGAAGCUUGAGUGUCGGAGAGGUUACUAGAAUUGUUGGUGUAGUGGUAAAAUACGUAGAUAUCAACAGGAAUACCGGAGGCGAAGGCGGGUAACUGGCCGAACACUGACACUGAGAUCCGAAAGCGUGGGGAUCAAAC